GACGAACGCUGGCGGCGUGCUUAGCACAUGCAAGUCGAACGGAAAGGCCCUGCUUUUGUGGGGUGCUCGAGUGGCGAACGGGUGAGUAACACGUGAGUAACCUGCCCUUGACUUUGGGAUAACUUCAGGAAACUGGGGCUAAUACCGGAUAGGGGCUCCUGCUGCAUGGUGGGGGUUGGAAAGUUUCGGCGGUUGGGGAUGGACUCGCGGCUUAUCAGCUUGUUGGUGGGGUAGUGGCUUACCAAGGCUUUGACGGGUAGCCGGCCUGGGAGGGUGACCGGCGACAUUGGGCCUGAGGUACGGAGCAGAAUCCAACGGGAGGCAGCAGUGGCGAAUAUUGCGCAAUGGGCGGGAGCCUGAUGCAGAGACGCCGCGUGCGGGAUGACGGCCUUCGGGUUGUAAACCGCUUUCGCCUGUGACGAAGCGUGAGUGACGGUAAUGGGUAAAGAAGCACCGGCUAACUACGUG
RNAcentral lists this ribosomal RNA (468 nucleotides) under uncultured bacterium. Its description in RNAcentral is "partial 16S ribosomal RNA". It matches the Rfam family "Bacterial small subunit ribosomal RNA", at positions 28 to 507 of the family's 1533-position model. The record is from RNAcentral.